UGGAAAAUAAAAAUUAGUAGAAUGACCAUAAAGACUGGGAAAAGGGAAAGAAAAGAGCAGGCAAGGAGGAAAAUCAAGAUAAAAAAUAAUGCUAAGCUUGGGCAUCAAGAAGGUAAUUUUCAAAAAGUUUUAUUUAAUCUUUCAAGAAAUGUUUAUUGAGCUUUCCAAGUAUCAGGCCUUACUUUAGGUAUUUAAGUUGUAGUUGCUUUCAAAAACUCUCUUUCUUCAUAGAGCUUACAUUCUAGGCUGGGGAAUUCAGGCAAUAAAUAGGAUAAGCAAGUAAAAUGUAUGGUAUGUUGGAUAAUGAUAAGUGGUUAGCAGAGGAAUGAAGUGGGGUCGUGUGGGUAGAGCAUGUAACAUCAGGUGGACUGGGCCAGGAAGACUUUACCGAGUAAGGAUCUGAAGAAAGUGAAGUGAAUAAGCUAUGGUUAUUUUGCUUCCUAGUUCAUGGGGGAAAUGAAAGCACUCAGAAGAACAGUCCAGGCAGGGAGACUAGCAAGUUCAAAGCUUCAUAGAUGGGAGCAUGCCUGAUAUAUUCAAGGAAAGGCUAGGAAACCAGUAAAGCUACAAUGGGAUAAAUGAAGAGGAGGAGAGAAGGAGGGGAGAUGACAAAAAAGACUUUGGAAGAUGUUAAGCAGAGAGUGCCAUAUGACAUACUUGAAUAUGAUAAUUUUAUUGCUGUUUCAACAGAAUCUAAAAAAGAGCAAGGACAGAAAAAGGAAGAGCAGCAAGGAUGCUACUGCACCAACCCAGAGAAAGCCAAGAUAUUGUGGGGGCAGAUGGAACAAUGGAACCAAUGAAACAGAGGUCAAAGCUGAAGGUUUCUGCUAGAAGCAAGCUAUAUACAG
This 848-nucleotide long non-coding RNA is filed under the name Heterocephalus glaber (naked mole-rat). RNAcentral describes it as "lncRNA (ENSHGLG00100042619.1)". Lineage: Eukaryota; Metazoa; Chordata; Mammalia; Rodentia; Bathyergidae. The record is from RNAcentral.